UAAUAACUGCUAGAAGGAUUAUGCCACCCCCGUGACUGUCAGUGUUGAUUCUGCUGAAGCUGAUCUGGCUGGCUAGUCAGGUGCCACUUCAUCCCAUUUGCAUUCCUUUGGUCCUUCAUGAAGCUCCUUGGUAGGAGAGGAUGACUUCCCAGAACAAAGAAAGACCAGUUUUGGUCAAGAGUAUACAAGUAGCUGUGCUCCCCUGCUAGAGUCUCAAAAAAUCAAAAUCUGUAACAGGUUUUUCCCUAAUAGAGUUAAAAAAAAUAAGAAACCCAAGAGACAU
Cricetulus griseus (Chinese hamster) is the source of this 283-nucleotide unclassified non-coding RNA. Its record names the gene 7SK. It matches the Rfam family "7SK RNA". Rfam says of the family: 7SK was discovered as an abundant small nuclear RNA in the mid-70s but a possible function has only recently been suggested. Two independent studies have found that 7SK RNA binds the CDK9/cyclin T complex (known as elongation factor P-TEFb). Lineage: Eukaryota; Metazoa; Chordata; Mammalia; Rodentia; Cricetidae. The record is from Ensembl.